Molecule: non-coding RNA, 351 nt
Organism: Anolis sagrei ordinatus
Lineage: Eukaryota; Metazoa; Chordata; Lepidosauria; Squamata; Anolidae
Source: RefSeq, a predicted model, not a curated record
CAACAAACAUUCGGCCUGCUGUAAGUGCAGUGACACAGGGCAGUUCCUGAAUGGGAUGAGACAGUGGGUCUUCACAGGAGCCCACCCACGUCGAGGAGGGCUCUUUCCCUUGCAAGGAAAUGACAGUUUGAGUCACAGGCUUCUCAACAAUCUAUCAGGAAGAAAGGGUUUCCAGGCGAGUGCAAAUUGCAGAAGAGGAAAACAGGACCCCCUUGGACAGCUGUGCCUGUUCUUAAGUGACCCCAUAGAGCUUUGGGACAUAUGGGUCUUUACAAAUAAACCAGAGACAUGCUGCUGCAACCAGGCACUGUGAGCUUUUCCAGCUCUCAUCCACCAUCCUUCCAGUGUGGA